RNAcentral lists this ribosomal RNA (467 nucleotides) under uncultured bacterium. Its description in RNAcentral is "partial 16S ribosomal RNA". It matches the Rfam family "Bacterial small subunit ribosomal RNA", at positions 28 to 506 of the family's 1533-position model. The record is from RNAcentral.
GACGAACGCUGGCGGCGUGCUUAACACAUGCAAGUCGAACGGAAAGGCCCUGCUUUUGUGGGGUGCUCGAGUGGCGAACGGGUGAGUAACACGUGAGUAACCUGCCCUUGACUUUGGGAUAACUUCAGGAAACUGGGGCUAAUACCGGAUAGGAGCUCCUGCUGCAUGGUGGGGGUUGGAAAGUUUCGGCGGUUGGGGAUGGACUCGCGGCUUAUCAGCUUGUAGGUGGGGUAGUGGCUUACCAAGGCUUUGACGGGUAGCCGGCCUGAGAGGGUGACCGGCCACAUGGGGACUGAGAUACGGCCCAGACUCCUACGGGAGGCAGCAGUGGGGAAUAUUGCACAAUGGGCGGAAGCCUGAUGCAGCAACGCCGCGUGCGGGAGGACGGCCUUCGGGUUGUAAACCGCUUUCGCCUGUGACGAAGCGUGAGUGACGGUAAUGGGUAAAGAAGCACCGGCUAACUACGU